GACGAACGCUGGCGGCGUGCCUAAUACAUGCAAGUUGAGCGAUGAAGAUUGGUGCUUGCACCAAUUUGAAGAGCAGCGAACGGGUGAGUAACGCGUGGGGAAUCUGCCUUUGAGCGGGGGACAACAUUUGGAAACGAAUGCUAAUACCGCAUAACAACUUUAAACAUAAGUUUUAAGUUUGAAAGAUGCAAUUGCAUCACUCAAAGAUGAUCCCGCGUUGUAUUAGCUAGUUGGUGAGGUAAAGGCUCACCAAGGCGAUGAUACAUAGCCGACCUGAGAGGGUGAUCGGCCACAUUGGGACUGAGACACGGCCCAAACUCCUACGGGAGGCAGCAGUAGGGAAUCUUCGGCAAUGGACGAAAGUCUGACCGAGCAACGCCGCGUGAGUGAAGAAGGUUUUCGGAUCGUAAAACUCGGUUGGUAGAGAAGAACGUUGGUGAGAGUGGAAAGCUCAUCAAGUGACGGUAACUACCCAGAAAGGGACGGCUAACUACGUG
RNAcentral lists this ribosomal RNA (497 nucleotides) under uncultured bacterium. RNAcentral's name for it is "partial 16S ribosomal RNA". It matches the Rfam family "Bacterial small subunit ribosomal RNA", at positions 28 to 507 of the family's 1533-position model. The record is from RNAcentral.